UGGGGAAUAUUGGACAAUGGGCGAAAGCCUGAUCCAGCCAUGCCGCGUGUGUGAAGAAGGUCUUCGGAUUGUAAAGCACUUUAAGUUGGGAGGAAGGGCAGUUACCUAAUACGUAUCUGUUUUGACGUUACCGACAGAAUAAGCACCGGCUAACUCUGUGCCAGCAGCCGCGGUAAUACAGAGGGUGCAAGCGUUAAUCGGAAUUACUGGGCGUAAAGCGCGCGUAGGUGGUUUGUUAAGUUGGAUGUGAAAUCCCCGGGCUCAACCUGGGAACUGCAUUCAAAACUGACAAGCUAGAGUAUGGUAGAGGGUGGUGGAAUUUCCUGUGUAGCGGUGAAAUGCGUAGAUAUAGGAAGGAACACCAGUGGCGAAGGCGACCACCUGGACUGAUACUGACACUGAGGUACGAAAGCGUGGGGAGCAAACAGGAUUAGAUACCCCAGUAGUCCCUGAGCGGGCUGGCAAGGCGCAU
This 472-nucleotide ribosomal RNA is filed under the name uncultured bacterium. Its description in RNAcentral is "bacterial SSU rRNA". It matches the Rfam family "Bacterial small subunit ribosomal RNA", at positions 355 to 825 of the family's 1533-position model. The record is from RNAcentral.